GGGGAGUACGGUCGCAAGAUUAAAACUCAAAUGAAUUGACGGGGGCCCGCACAAGCGGUGGAGCAUGUGGUUUAAUUCGAUGCAACGCGAAGAACCUUACCUACUCUUGACAUCCAGAGAAGCCAGCGGAGACGCAGGUGUGCCUUCGGGAGCUCUGAGACAGGUGCUGCAUGGCUGUCGUCAGCUCGUGUUGUGAAAUGUUGGGUUAAGUCCCGCAACGAGCGCAACCCUUAUCCUUGUUUGCCAGCGAGUAAUGUCGGGAACUCCAGGGAGACUGCCGGUGAUAAACCGGAGGAAGGUGGGGACGACGUCAAGUCAUCAUGGCCCUUACGAGUAGGGCUACACACGUGCUACAAUGGCGCAUACAGAGGGCAGCAAGCUAGCGAUAGUGAGCGAAUCCCAAAAAGUGCGUCGUAGUCCGGAUUGGAGUCUGCAACUCGACUCCAUGAAGUCGGAAUCGCUAGUAAUCGUGAAUCAGAAUGUCACGGUGAAUACGUUCCCGGGCCUUGUACACACCGCCCGUCACACCAUGGGAGUGGGCUGCAAAAGAAGUGGGUAG
This 559-nucleotide ribosomal RNA is filed under the name Vibrio crassostreae. RNAcentral describes it as "bacterial SSU rRNA". It matches the Rfam family "Bacterial small subunit ribosomal RNA", at positions 875 to 1433 of the family's 1533-position model. The record is from RNAcentral. Lineage: Bacteria; Pseudomonadati; Pseudomonadota; Gammaproteobacteria; Vibrionales; Vibrionaceae.